CGUGAGUAGUUCAGAGUUUGAUCCUGGCUCAGGAUGAACGCUGGCGGCGUGCUUAACACAUGCAAGUCGAACGAAGCACUUAAGUUGAUCUCUUCGGGGUGAUUCUUAAGUGACUUAGUGGCGGACGGGUGAGUAACGCGUGGGUAACCUGCCUCGUACAGGGGGAUGACAGUUAGAAAUGACUGCUAAUACCGCAUUAACCCGCUAAGGUCGCAUGACCUAGACGGAAAAGAUUUAUCGGUACGAGAUGGACCCGCGUCUGAUUAGCUAGUUGGUGAGGUAACGGCUCACCAAGGCGACGAUCAGUAGCCGGCCUGAGAGGGUGAACGGCCACAUUGGGACUGAGACACGGCCCAA
This 357-nucleotide ribosomal RNA is filed under the name uncultured bacterium. Its description in RNAcentral is "bacterial SSU rRNA". It matches the Rfam family "Bacterial small subunit ribosomal RNA", at positions 1 to 334 of the family's 1533-position model. The record is from RNAcentral.